GGCUGGGUAGUUCAAUAGGAUAGAACAACAGUUUCCUAAACUGUAAGUUGUGGGUUCGAAUCCCUCCCCGGUCAUAU
This 77-nucleotide transfer RNA is filed under the name Blattabacterium sp. (Cryptocercus punctulatus) str. Cpu. Its description in RNAcentral is "tRNA-Arg". It matches the Rfam family "tRNA". From Rfam's summary of the family: Transfer RNA (tRNA) molecules are approximately 80 nucleotides in length. The record is from RNAcentral. Lineage: Bacteria; Pseudomonadati; Bacteroidota; Flavobacteriia; Flavobacteriales; Blattabacteriaceae.